This 470-nucleotide ribosomal RNA is filed under the name Enterobacter sp. 2(2014). RNAcentral's name for it is "bacterial SSU rRNA". It matches the Rfam family "Bacterial small subunit ribosomal RNA", at positions 51 to 512 of the family's 1533-position model. Lineage: Bacteria; Pseudomonadati; Pseudomonadota; Gammaproteobacteria; Enterobacterales; Enterobacteriaceae. The record is from RNAcentral.
CUACAAUGCAGUCGAACGGUAGCACAGAGAGCUUGCUCUCGGGUGACGAGUGGCGGACGGGUGAGUAAUGUCUGGGAAACUGCCUGAUGGAGGGGGAUAACUACUGGAAACGGUAGCUAAUACCGCAUAACGUCGCAAGACCAAAGAGGGGGACCUUCGGGCCUCUUGCCAUCAGAUGUGCCCAGAUGGGAUUAGCUAGUAGGUGGGGUAACGGCUCACCUAGGCGACGAUCCCUAGCUGGUCUGAGAGGAUGACCAGCCACACUGGAACUGAGACACGGUCCAGACUCCUACGGGAGGCAGCAGUGGGGAAUAUUGCACAAUGGGCGCAAGCCUGAUGCAGCCAUGCCGCGUGUAUGAAGAAGGCCUUCGGGUUGUAAAGUACUUUCAGCGGGGAGGAAGGUGUUGUGGUUAAUAACCACAGCAAUUGACGUUACCCGCAGAAGAAGCACCGGCUAACUCCGUGCCAGC